This 629-nucleotide ribosomal RNA is filed under the name Gigaspora rosea. RNAcentral describes it as "partial 28S ribosomal RNA". It matches the Rfam family "Eukaryotic large subunit ribosomal RNA", at positions 83 to 628 of the family's 3401-position model. Lineage: Eukaryota; Fungi; Glomeromycota; Glomeromycetes; Diversisporales; Gigasporaceae. The record is from RNAcentral.
GUAACGGCGAGUGAAGCGGGAAGAGCACAAAUUUUAAAUCUACCUGGUUUCCAGGUCGAGUUGUAAUUUGARGAUACGUUUUUGAYGUUCCGGGUUGGACUAAAUCCUUUGGGAUAAGGUAUCAURGAGGGUGAGAAUCCCGUAUAUACCAACCNNAGGGAUGUUAUUUAAUACGUUUCUAAGAGUCGAGUUGUUUGGGAAUGCAGCUCUAAAUGGGUGGUAAAUUUCACYUAAUGCUAAAUAUAAGCGAGAGACCGAUAGCGAACAAGUACAGUGAUGGAAAGAUGAAAAGAACUUUGAAAAGAGAGUUAAAUAGUACGUGAAAUUGUUGAAAGGGAAACGAUUGAAGUCAGUCAUGCCRGUGGGAAUCAACUUAGRGGAAACUCURRGUGCACUUCUUCGCUUGGCAGGUYARYGUCGAUUUUGGAUGUCAUAAAAURAYUGGGGGAAGGUAGCUCCUUYGGGAGUGUUAUAGCCCUUGGUAGAUGUGAUGUCUGGGAUCGAGGAUUGCAAYGGAUACCCUUURGGGCUAGYCRCCUGAUCUCUAAUURGURUURGRUUACGGAYAGCAUGCUGACCGUGAUYUAAUUAUUGGUUAAAAGGUUAGAGUGCACAUAAAUUCGUUAAGG